GAUAAGAUGACUGAAUUAUAGGUGAUAAAUUGUAAAUUUAUUUAUGGUUAAAUAACCUCUUAUCA
RNAcentral lists this transfer RNA (65 nucleotides) under Cantao ocellatus. RNAcentral's name for it is "tRNA-Tyr". Lineage: Eukaryota; Metazoa; Arthropoda; Insecta; Hemiptera; Scutelleridae. The record is from RNAcentral.